AAGGAAUAUUGGUCAAUGGGCGCAAGCCUGAACCAGCCAUGCCGCGUGCAGGAUGAAGGCCCUCUGGGUUGUAAACUGCUUUUAUCUGGGAAGAAACACCCCGUUUCUACGGGGCUUGACGGUACCAGAGGAAUAAGCACCGGCUAACUCCGUGCCAGCAGCCGCGGUAAUACGGAGGGUGCAAGCGUUAUCCGGAUUUACUGGGUUUAAAGGGUGCGUAGGCGGGCCUUUAAGUCAGUGGUGAAAUCUCCCGGCUUAACCGGGAAACUGCCAUUGAUACUAUUGGUCUUGAAUUCAGUUGAGGUGGGCGGUAUGUGUCGUGUAGCGGUGAAAUGCUUAGAUAUGACACAGAACACCAAUUGCGAAGGCAGCUCGCUAAACUGACAUUGACGCUGAGGCACGAAAGCGUGGGGAUCAAAC
This 420-nucleotide ribosomal RNA is filed under the name uncultured bacterium. RNAcentral's name for it is "bacterial SSU rRNA". It matches the Rfam family "Bacterial small subunit ribosomal RNA", at positions 356 to 773 of the family's 1533-position model. The record is from RNAcentral.